RNAcentral lists this ribosomal RNA (496 nucleotides) under Leuconostoc carnosum. Its description in RNAcentral is "bacterial SSU rRNA". It matches the Rfam family "Bacterial small subunit ribosomal RNA", at positions 1 to 491 of the family's 1533-position model. Lineage: Bacteria; Bacillati; Bacillota; Bacilli; Lactobacillales; Lactobacillaceae. The record is from RNAcentral.
UUAGAGUUUUGAUCCUGGCUCUGGAUGAACGCUGGCGGCGUGCCUAAUACAUGCAAGUCGAACGCACAGCGAAAGGUGCUUGCACCUUUCAAGUGAGUGGCGAACGGGUGAGUAACACGUGGACAACCUGCCUCAAGGCUGGGGAUAACAUUUGGAAACAGAUGCUAAUACCGAAUAAAACUUAGUAUCGCAUGAUACCAGGUUAAAAGGCGCUACGGCGUCACCUAGAGAUGGAUCCGCGGUGCAUUAGUUAGUUGGUGGGGUAAAGGCCUACCAAGACAAUGAUGCAUAGCCGAGUUGAGAGACUGAUCGGCCACAUUGGGACUGAGACACGGCCCAAACUCCUACGGGAGGCUGCAGUAGGGAAUCUUCCACAAUGGGCGAAAGCCUGAUGGAUGCAACGCCGCGUGUGUGAUGAAGGCUUUCGGGUCGUAAAGCACUGUUGUAUGGGAAGAAAAGUUAAGGUAUGGAAUGCCUUACCGACGUCCUCNANGGC